AUUUCAGGAAAAAAUCUUAGUCCAUCGGAUCUAGAGAUUGAAGCAACUUGCAAAAGAAACAAUAACAAGAAGGAGAGAACAACAAAAGGUAUAGACUAAUCAAAGAGAGAAAACCAUCAUCUUCUGUAUCAUCUUCUCCUUUAAUCAACUCACAUCCCAAUUUUAAACAACACAUUAUGGCACAAGACAGCCCCAGAGAGUAACUCUGGAGGACUAUUCUAGUUUCUCUACAUCUCAGUACUUCACCAGCAUAGUUCGGACAACACUGCUCCAGACCUCAAACUGAAGGCUCUAACUUUGCUCCAGACUUAGAUAUUGGAGGCUCCAACUUUGCUCCAAAUAUUGUUCUCGGGUAGAUGUGGAUCGUGCUGGGCUUUAACCACAGGAUCUAUAGAAGGAGCCAAUUUUCUUGCCACCGGAAAGGUCGUAAGUCUCAGUGAACAACAACUCCUUGACUGACAACAACGCGUAUUAGAUAUCACUAUCCUUAUUCCAAUCCAAUAGCAAGGAGUCACCAAAAUAGUGUGAUUCAUGACUUCAACAAAUGCGUCAAUCUUUGCAUCUUCCACGCAACCAUGCUUGCCUGUGUCUCCUACCAUUUCAAACAAGCUUGCUAGUCCUUGUCUCAAUGUUUCGUCACCAAGAAGUUACCUUGUGAAGAAAAAGCAUGUGAAAUGGGAAAAAAGAGCAUGGAAAUUAAAUAAUGAAUAGGUAGGUGGUGGGGAUGAUAUUCAAGUUGGAGUGUUUGUGCUUUAAAAAAAUUUUGUUUCUCCAGAAUAAAAGUUAAUUUUGGAUAACAUUAUUACAAUACCAUUAUCUACAAUCAUUGUUUACAAGUUCAAGCUUCCAUCAUGGGCUAAGUUUGAAAUAGGGAGGGUUGCUGUCUAUUGGUAAACCAUGAAUGGCCUCCCUCCUACCUCAAAAUUUUGGCAGGAAGAAAAGCCCUGGAUUUGAGAUUUUCAUUUGGUGAAAUUGAGGUUCUUAACGAAAACUUGGACUUGAUCAAGAGACAGAUAAGUCUAGAAGGUGUGGAAAUUUUAUCUGCAGCAGAUGUCGAUUCCUUGGCCAGAGCUGGACCAUUACCUUCUUUACUAAAUCAAAAUCCUCCUUCACCUGGAAAGCUAACUGUCAACUUUUUAACUCGGUAGCUACUGGGUCUAGGUGAGUAUCUGGCAUUUUCCCCUUUCUUAAAACUAGUUCAUAGUUCGUACUUUUUUUGGGGUCAUCUAAACACAAGUAUAAUUUAUUUUUACUCGAUAUAUCUGUAGACAAAGAUGAGUUACCAAACCUUUAGUGUUAUAAAUUUUUUUAUUGGCUUGAUUUGAGGUAUAAAUCCAGAUAUUGGGGCUCAAACAAAUAUUACCCACAUUAAUGGAUAUGAUUUUUCUGCUUCCAA
This is a long non-coding RNA of Glycine soja, 1396 nucleotides long. RefSeq lists it as uncharacterized. The transcript is spliced from 4 exons. Lineage: Eukaryota; Viridiplantae; Streptophyta; Magnoliopsida; Fabales; Fabaceae. The record is from RefSeq and is a predicted model, not a curated record.